This 253-nucleotide ribosomal RNA is filed under the name uncultured bacterium. RNAcentral's name for it is "partial 16S ribosomal RNA". It matches the Rfam family "Bacterial small subunit ribosomal RNA", at positions 524 to 776 of the family's 1533-position model. The record is from RNAcentral.
UACGAAGGGGGCUAGCGUUGUUCGGAAUCACUGGGCGUAAAGCGCACGCAGGCGGAUUGAUAAGUCGGGGGUGAAAUCCCGGGGCUCAACCUCGGAAUUGCCUUCGAUACUGUCUGUCUUGAGUCCGGGAGAGGUGAGUGGAAUUCCUAGUGUAGAGGUGAAAUUCGUAGAUAUUAGGAAGAACACCAGUGGCGAAGGCGGCCCACUGGUCCGGUACUGACGCUGAGGUGCGAAAGCGUGGGGAGCAAACAGG